RNAcentral lists this ribosomal RNA (253 nucleotides) under uncultured bacterium. Its description in RNAcentral is "partial 16S ribosomal RNA". It matches the Rfam family "Bacterial small subunit ribosomal RNA", at positions 524 to 776 of the family's 1533-position model. The record is from RNAcentral.
UACGAGGGGAGCAAGCGUUGUUCGGAUUUACUGGGCGUAAAGGGCGCGUAGGCGGCGUGACUAGUCACUUGUGAAAUCUCCGGGCUUAACUCGGAAAGGUCAAGUGAUACUGUCGUGCUAGAGUACAGAAGGGGCAACUGGAAUUCUCGGUGUAGCGGUGAAAUGCGUAGAUAUCGAGAGGAACACCUGCGGCGAAGGCGGGUUGCUGGGCUGAUACUGACGCUGAUGCGCGAAAGCCAGGGGAGCGAACGGG